Molecule: ribosomal RNA, 464 nt
Filed under: uncultured bacterium
Lineage: Bacteria
Description: partial 16S ribosomal RNA
Rfam family: Bacterial small subunit ribosomal RNA
Source: RNAcentral
GACGAACGCUGGCGGCGUGCUUAACACAUGCAAGUCGAACGGUAAGGCCCCUUCGGGGGUACACGAGUGGCGAACGGGUGAGUAACACGUGAGCAACCUGCCCUUGACUCUGGAAUAACAGUUGGAAACAGCUGCUAAUACUGGAUAUUCAUCGUCUCCUUCCUGGGGGGUGGUGGAAAGCUCCGGCGGUCAGGGAUGGGCUCGCGGCCUAUCAGCUUGUUGGUGAGGUAAUGGCUCACCAAGGCUUCGACGGGUAGCCGGCCUGAGAGGGCGACCGGCCACACUGGGACUGAGAUACGGCCCAGACUCCUACGGGAGGCAGCAGUGGGGAAUAUUGCACAAUGGGCGCAAGCCUGAUGCAGCAACGCCGCGUGCGGGAUGACGGCCUUCGGGUUGUAAACCGCUUUCAGUAGGGACGAAGGGUGACUGACGGUACCUACAGAAGAAGGACCGGCUAACUACGG